Molecule: ribosomal RNA, 253 nt
Filed under: uncultured bacterium
Lineage: Bacteria
Description: partial 16S ribosomal RNA
Rfam family: Bacterial small subunit ribosomal RNA
Source: RNAcentral
UACGGGGGGAGCAAGCGUUGUUCGGAUUUACUGGGCGUAAAGGGCGUGCAGGCGGUCUGUUAAGUCUAGGGUGAAAGCUCCCGGCUCAACUGGGAGAGGUCCUUGGAUACUGGCGGACUUGAGGGAGGCAGAGGAAAGUGGAAUUCCCGGUGUAGUGGUGAUAUGCGUAGAUAUCGGGAGGAACACCAGUGGCGAAGGCGGCUCACUGGCCCGAUACUGACGCUGAGGCACGAAAGCGUGGGGAGCAAACAGG